GUCUUAUUCUAUAUUAAUGCAAGGUUCUUCAUCUUUUUCUUCUUAAUUUCUACAUUGUCUCUAUGUGUUUUUGUAACUACGUGAUUACCUUACCAGUACUGCUUUAAUUUAUUCUAGCGUGAGGUGAGACAUAUUCUGUAAUAAUUUGCUUUUAAUAUACUAAUGUUGUUUGCUUGAGAUGCAUUUAUUCUGGCAAUGUACGAGAUGUGAUCUCAGUUCGAGAUGAUUUUCUGGCGGUGUUAUUCAAGAGUGUAAGCGCAAGAGGUUCUUCGAAAAUAAGAAGGACGAGAAGAAGCGGAGGACGCGGGAGGCCGCUAAGGGCAACAAAAGGAGGCGCCUCCAAUUAAAAACUCCACCAGAGACCAAGCCAAAAGCCACAACAAACAAGAAGGAAGAUGAUGAGGAUAAUUGGGAUCUGUCUGAAGAGGGAGAUAUCCCCUAUUAACUGCAUUCAACGUGCCUUCAAUUUAGAAAACUCUUCACCUUUUGAGUGCAAGAAACUCUUGGUCCAUGUAAAUGGCAUGAAGUGAAUCCUGUUCUUUGACAGAAUGCAUUAUAUCCCUUUUGCAU
Juglans regia (Persian walnut) is the source of this 570-nucleotide long non-coding RNA. RefSeq lists it as uncharacterized. The record is from RefSeq and is a predicted model, not a curated record. Lineage: Eukaryota; Viridiplantae; Streptophyta; Magnoliopsida; Fagales; Juglandaceae. The transcript is spliced from 2 exons.